CACACCACAGAGUACCCCCUGUAGAGCUAUAAUGGCACCAAGUGUAAGUGUGAGACAAGCUGGUGGUAGGAUGGGCAAUAAGGUUCCAAAGAGUCUUGGCAAUGUUUUGGGCCAAGAGCACUGUUGUUGCAAACCUUGUAGGUGUGUGUGUGUGUGUGUGUGUGUGUGCCUGCGUACACACAUGCUCACAAGCAUGCUUUCAUGGAAAUGAGUGUGUCUUCUUUUUCUUUUUUUUAAAGUAGGUUUAUUUAUUUUUAUUUUAUGUGCAUUGGUGUUUUGCCUGCAUGUUUGUUUGAUGUUGCCACAUGCCCUGGGAUUGGAACUACAGACAGUUCUGAGCUGCUGUGUAGGUGCUAGGAAUUGAACCCAGGUCCUCUAGGAGAGGACCAGUUGGUUCUCUUAACCACUUAGCCAUGUCUCCAGCCCUGUGAAUGUGUUUUCUAUAUUUCAGUGACACAGGGGUGUGUGUUUAUUCUAUUUCUUGUCAGUUUAAGUCUUUGUGGCCCCUUCAGACAUGUAAAAAUAGAAAAAUAAAAAAUUGUGUACUGUAUCAAGUAACGAUGACUGAUUGAUUGUCUUAGUUACUUUUCCUAGAUAGCAGUGAAAACACACAUGCAUGCAUGCGUGUGUGCAUUCGAGAGUGCACAUGGACACACACACACAUACACACAACACACAACACACAACACAAGCAACUCAAGUAAAGAGGAAGGGUUGAUUGGUCUCACAGUUCCAGGGGAGUAGUGAAGGCAGGAGUUUGGUACAGGUGGGUCUCUGCAUCCACAGUCAGAAGGCAGAAAGCUGGGGAUGUUUGUACUCAGAUCACUUUCUCAUGUUUAUAUGGUUCAGGACCAAAGCCUAGGGAAUAGUGCUGCCCACAGUACCCGGAUAUUCCCACCUCACUUAAACUAAUCAAGAGAAUCACCUACAAGCAGGCCUAGAGGCCUAUCUCCCAGAUGAUUCUAGAUCUUAUCCAGGUCAUAUUUGAGAAUGACCAGAAACUGAGACUUUUCAUGAAAAUUAUUUUGUAUAAUUCUACAUUUGUUUACGUGUACUCUGAACAUGAUCCCUGCUUUGUGAGAAUGGCAAACAAGCAAAAAAACAAGGAAUAGUUUUUUUUAAUUAUGAGAAAAGAUUUGCUCUUUGCAGCAAGUCUAGUUCCCAGUUGCUUUUAAUGAUCUUAGUUUUAGUGUACCGGUAAAUCUGAGGAUUGAGAAAAUUAUUGGGAUGAUAUAAAUAAAAAGUUACUUUGGUUUACAUGAUGUUAAAAACAAAAAAAAAAAUGAUUUUGUCUUUGUUGAUCUUAGUUGCUUCUCUAACUUUUUUCUUUAAAAC
RNAcentral lists this long non-coding RNA (1335 nucleotides) under Mus musculus (house mouse). Its description in RNAcentral is "long non-coding RNA chr2:52975195-52976530". Lineage: Eukaryota; Metazoa; Chordata; Mammalia; Rodentia; Muridae. The record is from RNAcentral.